CCUACGGGGGGCAGCAGUGGGGAAUAUUGGACAAUGGGGGGAACCCUGAUCCAGCCAUGCCGCGUGUGUGAAGAAGGCCCUCGGGUUGUAAAGCACUUUCAGUGAGGAAGAACGCCUGGUGGUUAAUACCCAUCAGGAAAGACAUCACUCACAGAAGAAGCACCGGCUAACUCCGUGCCAGCAGCCGCGGUAAUACGGAGGGUGCGAGCGUUAAUCGGAAUUACUGGGCGUAAAGCGCGCGUAGGUGGCUUGAUAAGCCGGUUGUGAAAGCCCCGGGCUCAACCUGGGAACGGCAUCCGGAACUGUCAAGCUAGAGUGCAGGAGAGGAAGGUAGAAUUCCCGGUGUAGCGGUGAAAUGCGUAGAGAUCGGGAGGAAUACCAGUGGCGAAGGCGGCUUUCUGGACUGACACUGACACUGAGGUGCGAAAGCGUGGGUAGCAAACAGGAUUAGAUACCCGAGUAGUC
Molecule: ribosomal RNA, 465 nt
Filed under: Vreelandella stevensii
Lineage: Bacteria; Pseudomonadati; Pseudomonadota; Gammaproteobacteria; Oceanospirillales; Halomonadaceae
Description: partial 16S ribosomal RNA
Rfam family: Bacterial small subunit ribosomal RNA
Source: RNAcentral